RNAcentral lists this ribosomal RNA (248 nucleotides) under uncultured bacterium. RNAcentral describes it as "partial 16S ribosomal RNA". It matches the Rfam family "Bacterial small subunit ribosomal RNA", at positions 335 to 575 of the family's 1533-position model. The record is from RNAcentral.
CAUCCUACGGGGCGCAGCAGUAGGGAAUCUUCCACAAUGGACGAAAGUCUGGUGGAGCAACGCCGCGUGAGUGAAGAAGGGUUUCGGCUCGUAAAGCUCUGUUGGUAGUGAAGAAAGAUAGAGGGAGUAACUGGCCUUUAUUUGACGGUAAUUACUUAGAAAGUCACGGCUAACUACGUGCCAGCAGCCGCGGGAAUACGUAAGUGGCAAGCGGUUUCCGGAGUUUUUGGGCGUAAAGAGAGUGCAGG